RNA transcript from Piliocolobus tephrosceles (Ugandan red Colobus), 1195 nucleotides. It is a transcript of the gene named haloacid dehalogenase-like hydrolase domain-containing protein 2 pseudogene, with no coding region annotated. Lineage: Eukaryota; Metazoa; Chordata; Mammalia; Primates; Cercopithecidae. The record is from RefSeq and is a predicted model, not a curated record. The transcript has a single exon.
GGGCUUUUUAUCCUGGCUGAGAGGAACCUGCGGCCAGCGUGGCUGGCUGGUUUUGCCAUUAGCGGGGGCCUUUCCUGAGGACGGCGUACAGAGUGUGGGGAAUGAAGGAUGGCAGCACGCCGUGCAUUAGAUCUCAGUGGCACACUUUACAUUGAAGAUGCAGCUGUGCCAGGCGCACAGGAAGCUCUUAAAAGGUUACGUGGUGCUUCUGUAUUCGUUAGGUUUGUGACCAAUACGACCAAAGAGAGCAAGCAAGACCUGUUGGAAAGGUUGAGAAAAUUGGAAUUUGUUAUCUCUGAAAAUGAGAUAUUCACAUCUCUGACUGCAGCCAGAAGUUUAUUAGAGCAGAAACAAGUCAGACCCAUGCUGCUAGCUGAUGAUCGGGCACUACCUGAUUUCAAAGGAAUACAAACAAGUGAUCCUAAUGCUGUGGUCAUAGGAUUGGCACCAGAACAUUUUCAUUAUCAAAUUCUGAAUCAAGCAUUCCGGUUACUCCUGGAUGGAGCACCUCUGAUAGCAAUCCACAAAGCCAGGUAUUACAAGAGGAAAGAUGGCUUAGCCCUGGGGCCUGGACCAUUUGUGACUGCUUUAGAGUAUGCCACAGAUACCAAAGCCACAGUCGUGGGGAAACCAGAGAAGACGUUCUUUUUGGAAGCAUUGCGAGGCACUGGCUGUGAACCUGAGGAGGCUGUCAUGAUAGGAGAUGAUUGCAGGGAUGAUGUUAGUGGGGCUCAGGAUGUUGGCAUGCUAGGCCUCUUAGUAAAGACUGGGAAAUACCGAGCAUCAGAUGAAGAAAAAAUUAAACCACCUCCUUAUUUUACUUGUGAGAGUUUCCCUCAUGCUGUGGACCACAUUCUGCAGCACCUGUUGUGAAGCAAUGUGUGCAUCUGAAGCAACUUGAAACGCAGUUUCUUAUUGUCUGGAAUGAAUCCCUGACCAACUCAGUGCCAGCAUCGGUAGACACACACCAGUCAGUGCUGAUCGCUUUUUAACCCUCUUUUGUUGUGCGUUAAUUAGAAAGAAAGGUAUUGAAUUGCGGCCAGCCAGUAAGCCUUGCUAAUCUCUUUUAUUUUGUAACUGAAGAUGAGACCCAAAGAAAGGGAAAGCUGAAAUUUUGUGCCAUUCCUUUUAAAAUAUUCAUCAGGUUAGGCAGGGCUGGGAGGGAGAAGCUACCACAGGGAAGAGUGUUGUUUGC